GACGAACCGUGCGAACGUUGUUCGGAUUCACUGGGCUUAAAGGGCGCGUAGGCGGCGGCUCAAGUCGGGGGUGAAAUCCUCUCGCUUAACGAGAGAAUUGCUUUCGAUACUGGGUCGCUGGAGGGAGAUAGGGGUGCGCGGAAUUUCCGGUGGAGCGGUGAAAUGCGUAGAUAUCGGAAGGAACGCCGGUGGCGAAAGCGGCGCACUGGAUCUCUUCUGACGUUGAGGCGCGAAAGCCAGGGGAGCAAACGGG
Molecule: ribosomal RNA, 253 nt
Filed under: uncultured bacterium
Lineage: Bacteria
Description: partial 16S ribosomal RNA
Rfam family: Bacterial small subunit ribosomal RNA
Source: RNAcentral